Molecule: ribosomal RNA, 292 nt
Filed under: uncultured bacterium
Lineage: Bacteria
Description: partial 16S ribosomal RNA
Rfam family: Bacterial small subunit ribosomal RNA
Source: RNAcentral
GUGUCAGCAGCCGCGGUAAUACGGAGGGUGCAAGCGUUGUUCGGAAUUAUUGGGCGUAAAGAACGUGUAGGCGGGUUUGUGAGUCAGAUGUGAAAGCCCUCGGCUCAACCGAGGAAGUGCAUCUGAAACUGCAAAUCUUGAGUACGAGAGAGGAGAGUGGAAUUCCCAGUGUAGAGGUGAAAUUCAUAGAUAUUGGGAAGAACACCGGCGGCGAAAGCGGCUCUCUGGCUCGAUACUGACGCUGAGACGUGAAAGCGUGGGGAGCAAACAGGAUUAGAAACCCCAGUAGUCC